CCUACGGGUGGCAGCAGUGAGGAAUAUUGGUCAAUGGUCGGGAGACUGAACCAGCCAAGCCGCGUGAGGGAUGAAGGUACUGAGAAUCGUAAACCUCUUUUGUCAGGGAACAAAGGCGGGGACGUGUCCCCGGAUGAGUGUACCUGAAGAAUAAGCAUCGGCUAACUCCGUGCAAGCAGCCGCGGUAAUACGGAGGAUGCGAGCGUUAUCCGGAUUUAUUGGGUUUAAAGGGUGCGCAGGCGGUCUGUUAAGUCAGCGGUAAAAGCCCGGGGCUCAACCCCGGCCCGCCGUUGAAACUGGCAGUCUCGAGUUGGAGAGAGGUAAGCGGAAUGCGAGGUGUAGCGGUGAAAUGCAUAGAUAUCGCGCAGAACACCGAUUGCGAAGGCAGCAUGCCGGCUCCACACUGACGCUGAGGCACGAAAGCGUGGGUAUCGAACAGGAUUAGAUACCCUUGUAGUC
RNAcentral lists this ribosomal RNA (459 nucleotides) under uncultured bacterium. RNAcentral describes it as "partial 16S ribosomal RNA". It matches the Rfam family "Bacterial small subunit ribosomal RNA", at positions 338 to 795 of the family's 1533-position model. The record is from RNAcentral.